GACGAACGCUGGCGGCGUGCUUAACACAUGCAAGUCGAGCGGUAAGGCCCUUUCGGGGGUACACGAGCGGCGAACGGGUGAGUAACACGUGGGUGACCUGCCUUUAGCUCUGGGAUAAGCCUGGGAAACUGGGUCUAAUACCGGAUAUGACUCCGCGGUGCAUGCUGUGGGGUGAAAGCCUUGUGCGGCUGGAGAUGGGCCCGCGGCCUAUCAGCUUGUUGGUGGGGUGAUGGGCCUACCAAGGCGACGACGGGUAGCCGGCCUGAGAGGGCGACCGGCCACACUGGGACUGAGACACGGCCCAGACUCCUACGGGAGGCAGCAGUGGGGAAUUGUUCGCAAUGGGCGCAAGCCUGACGACGCAACGCCGCGUGGAGGAUGAAGAUUUUCGGAUCGUAAACUCC
RNAcentral lists this ribosomal RNA (404 nucleotides) under uncultured bacterium. RNAcentral describes it as "bacterial SSU rRNA". It matches the Rfam family "Bacterial small subunit ribosomal RNA", at positions 28 to 433 of the family's 1533-position model. The record is from RNAcentral.